UUGGAGGGCAAGUCUGGUGCCAGCAGCCGCGGUAAUUCCAGCUCCAAUAGCGUAUAUUAAAGUUGUUGCAGUUAAAAAGCUCGUAGUUGAAUUUCGGGAUCAAUAUGUUGGUCGUGCCUUUGGUACGUACUAGCUUAUUGAUUUCUCCCUUCUGACGAACCAUGAUGUCAUUAAUUUGGUGUCAUGGGAAAUCAGGACUGUUACUUUGAAAAAAUUAGAGUGUUUAAAGCAGGCUUACGCUUGAAUACAUUAGCAUGGAAUAAUGAAAUAGGACGUUUUGAUUCUAUUUUGUUGGUUUCUAGGAUCGACGUAAUGAUUAAUAGGGAUAGUUGGGGGCAUUAGUAUUCAAUUGUCAGAGGUGAAAUUCUUGGAUUUAUUGAAGACUAACUACUGCGAAAGCAUUUGCCAAGGAUGUUUUCAUUAAUCAAGAACGAAAGUUAGGGGAUCGAAGACGAUCAGAUACCGUCGUAGUCUUAACCAUAAACUAUGCCGACUAGGGAUCGGAUGAUGUUAAUUUUUUAAUGACUCAUUCGGCGCCUUACGGGAAACCAAAGUGUUUGGGUUC
This 565-nucleotide ribosomal RNA is filed under the name uncultured Glomeromycotina. RNAcentral describes it as "SSU rRNA". It matches the Rfam family "Eukaryotic small subunit ribosomal RNA", at positions 548 to 1114 of the family's 1831-position model. Lineage: Eukaryota; Fungi; Glomeromycota. The record is from RNAcentral.